This 215-nucleotide ribosomal RNA is filed under the name uncultured bacterium. RNAcentral describes it as "partial 16S ribosomal RNA". It matches the Rfam family "Bacterial small subunit ribosomal RNA", at positions 1286 to 1500 of the family's 1533-position model. The record is from RNAcentral.
UCUCAGUUCGGAUUGUAGGCUGCAACUCGCCUACAUGAAGUCGGAAUCGCUAGUAAUCGCGGAUCAGCAUGCUGCGGUGAAUACGUUCCCGGGCCUUGUACACACCGCCCGUCACACCAUGGAAGUCGGUAAUGCCCGAAGUCAGUAGCCUAACCGCAAGGAGGGCGCUGCCGAAGGCAGGAUUGAUGACUGGGGUGAAGUCGUAACAAGGUAUC